UAUGGGUUUACUGUUAAACAGAUGCAGGCGAUAUGGUCCAAAAUUACUAAGGGCUUGAGCAGUACGGCAGCAAACCAUCUAGACCAGGGACGCAGUAUUGAUACCCGACCCUUUGCUGAGAUCACUUAUUAUACAACCACAGAUAAGAUUUUAGGUAGAAAUAAGAAUGAAGGGAAAUACCGCAUGACACAAAUGAGGGGCCCUACGAUCUUUAACUUAGUAAGAAAUGAUAAAGAGCACAUCCCAAUGCAUUGAAGAUCGGGAAUAUAUUCUAUUCCCCUAUACAAUAAUGAUGAACAAGUAGGGCAGUGUUACGUUGAUGAACAAGUAGAGUAGUGUAAGAUCUUAGAAAAACGAAUACGUGAACAUAAAGCAGAUAUCACAGCAGGUAGAUUAACCACUGCCCUAUCAACCACAGCAUCUGAACAG
Molecule: long non-coding RNA, 429 nt
Filed under: Androctonus crassicauda
Lineage: Eukaryota; Metazoa; Arthropoda; Arachnida; Scorpiones; Buthidae
Source: RNAcentral